AUACGGAGGAUGCAAGCGUUAUCCGGAUUUAUUGGGUUUAAAGGGUGCGUAGGCGGUUUGCUAAGCGGGAGGUGAAAUGCCGGCGCUCAACGUCGGAAGUGCCUCCCGAACUGGUGGACUUGAAUGACUCUGCCGUGGGAGGAAUGUGUAGUGUAGCGGUGAAAUGCUUAGAGAUUACACAGAACACCGAUUGCGAAGGCAUCUCACGAAGGGUUGAUUGACGCUGAGGCACGAAAGCGUGGGGAUCAAACAGGAUUAGAUGCCCUGGUAGUCCACGCAGUAAACGAUGAUGGCUAACCGCUGGUUUAUUCGGAUCAGUGGCCAAGCGAAAGCGAUAAGCCAUCCACCUGGGGAGUACGACCGCAAGGUUGAAACUCAAAUGAAUUGGCGGGG
This 393-nucleotide ribosomal RNA is filed under the name uncultured bacterium. Its description in RNAcentral is "partial 16S ribosomal RNA". It matches the Rfam family "Bacterial small subunit ribosomal RNA", at positions 523 to 918 of the family's 1533-position model. The record is from RNAcentral.